Long non-coding RNA from Jatropha curcas, 402 nucleotides. RefSeq lists it as uncharacterized. Lineage: Eukaryota; Viridiplantae; Streptophyta; Magnoliopsida; Malpighiales; Euphorbiaceae. The record is from RefSeq and is a predicted model, not a curated record.
GGGAUAGGCCUUUCCAAUUACUUACAAGUUAUAUAAUAAGAUGGCCAAGAGUCUUCGAAAUGUUUUCUCUGUCUUCUUUAUCCUCCUCGUCGUUUUGCUUCUCGGGAUGACACCGCUGUUAUCUGCUCGUCAACUUCUACGAGGGUCUCCUCGCGGGUCGGGAGCGCGUGGGAGUGAUCCAAGUCCUGGAGGACCAGGGAGGCACUGAUAAUCCAGUGCAUCCCAUCGGAGGAUUAAAAGUUAAGACAGAAGCCCAAUAUAUUAUGCAAACGACUAGUAGUAUUAUAUACAUAUCCAACUCAAUUAUAGUUCUUUUCUUUUUUUUUUAUUUGAAUAUGUUAUGUAUGUAACUCUGGUUGUGAAUAAGUUGUGGAAUUAAUAAUAAUUUAAGUUUUUAAAAAA